AAAAAACGGACCAAGGGGCCAGCCUCAGGUCCCAAAACAAUGUUAUGGGACA
Regulatory RNA element from Neotoma lepida (desert woodrat), 52 nucleotides. The record is from Rfam. Lineage: Eukaryota; Metazoa; Chordata; Mammalia; Rodentia; Cricetidae.